CUACGUGCCAGCAGCCGCGGUAAUACGGAGGGUGCGAGCGUUAAUCGGAAUAACUGGGCGUAAAGGGCACGCAGGCGGCUAUUUAAGUGAGGUGUGAAAUCCCCGGGCUUAACCUGGGAAUUGCAUUUCAGACUGGGUAGCUAGAGUACUUUAGGGAGGGGUAGAAUUCCACGUGUAGCGGUGAAAUGCGUAGAGAUGUGGAGGAAUACCGAAGGCGAAGGCAGCCCCUUGGGAAUGUACUGACGCUCAUGUGCGAAAGCGUGGGGAGCAAACAGGAUUAGAUACCCUGGUAGUCCACGCUGUAAACGAUGUCGAUUUGGGGAUUGGGCUUUGAGCUUGGUGCCCGUAGCUAACGUGAUAAAUCGACCGCCUGGGGAGUACGGCCGCAAGGUUAAAACUCAAAUGAAUUGACGGGGGCCCGCACAAGCGGUGGAGCAUGUGGUUUAAUUCGAUGCAACGCGAAGAACCUUACCUACUCUUGACAUCCAUGGAAUCUUGUAGAGAUACGAGAGUGC
RNAcentral lists this ribosomal RNA (515 nucleotides) under uncultured bacterium. RNAcentral describes it as "bacterial SSU rRNA". It matches the Rfam family "Bacterial small subunit ribosomal RNA", at positions 501 to 1017 of the family's 1533-position model. The record is from RNAcentral.